Molecule: ribosomal RNA, 253 nt
Filed under: uncultured bacterium
Lineage: Bacteria
Description: partial 16S ribosomal RNA
Rfam family: Bacterial small subunit ribosomal RNA
Source: RNAcentral
UACGUAGGAUCCAAGCGUUGUCCGGAUUUACUGGGUGUAAAGGGUGCGCAGGCGGACUUGUAAGUCCGGGGUGAAAUCUCACAGCUCAACUGUGAAACUGCCUUUGAUACUGCAAGUCUUGGAUCCAGAAGAGAGUUGUGGAAUUCCGAGUGUAGCAGUGAAAUGUGUAGAUAUUCGGAAGAACACCAGUGGCGAAGGCAGCAACUUGGUCUGGUAUCGACGCUCAGGCACGAAAGCAUGGGGAUCAAACAGG